UAGAAAGGAAGACAAGAACAACAAGGUUGUGGAAUUCAGAAGCCAUAUAGACAAGAGCUGGGAAAACAGCAAUGGAUUAAUAACAAGAAAUUAAUGGUGAAGUGGUGACGAAAAUUCUACAUUGCUUAGAAAGCAAGCCCAUAGGUGGAAGGGACUUGCCUUGUCUCGGAUGAGACUUUGGACUUUGGACUGUGGACUUUUGAGUUAACACUGAAAUGAAUUAAUGCUGAAAUGAAUUAAGACUUUGGGAGACGGUUGAGAAGCCAUGACUCAUUUUAAAAUGUGAGACAUGCCUUUCACCUUCUGCCAUGAUUGUGAGGCCUCUCCAGCCAUGUGGAACUGUGAACACACAGUGUUCAUCCCCUCAGGAGGACACAGCUUUUGAGGUACCAUCUUGGAAGCAGAGACCAGCCCUCACUAGACACAAACUUCCUGGCACGUUGAUUUUGGACUUCAUAGCCUCUAGAACUGUGAGAAAUAAAUUUUUAUUAUUUAUAAAUUACCCUGUAUUGGAUAUUUUGUUAUAGCAGCACAAAAGGUCUAAGACAAU
RNAcentral lists this long non-coding RNA (550 nucleotides) under Homo sapiens (human). Its description in RNAcentral is "HSALNT0352563". Lineage: Eukaryota; Metazoa; Chordata; Mammalia; Primates; Hominidae. The record is from RNAcentral.